UUAUUUAUUUUGUGAAAAGAAGAGACAGAAAAUACCUUAUUAUCUGCAGGGACUCAACGCUGUACCCGAAUCAAGAAAGAAAAUAACAAUAGAAACCAUUCACACACUCUGUUCAUGCACGGACACCAGAAGACGAUUCAGAACACCAGAGGAGAAUAAGCCGGAGUGCCAGCACCACGAUGGCCCUGGCACGUUGUUUAAGAUCUGAGAUCCCUUGGUUUCUCUCAUGUUUAUCUGAGAUGCCACAUCAGGGCCCUUGCUGCUAUAUUACCUCUGCCCGGGUGUUUGAGACCGGUCACAAGUGCGUGGGUGUUUCCUGGAAAUGUAUUCCCCUGGGACUCAGCGAUGCUCUGGGAACCGUUGGGGUUUGGGGAAGGACAAUGUGGUGUGACUAUUGGCCUGACACGUUGUGGAUGUGGUUGGAGUCAUCCACGUGGACACGAUUUUCAGCUUGGAGCUGGGAUGGAGAAGAUGGAAGCGCUGGGGGCCGGGCCUCCUUUUCCAGCAAGGCUGGCCCUGAUUUCUCCUCUGUUCCAGCUUGUCUGCCAGAAGCCUUCCCCUGCAAACUGCCCACCUGCCCGGAGACAGAGGGAGCAGCUGAGGCCUCUCUCCACUGGCCGCCAGCCUCCCCAGCACAAGAGGACUAUUCAGCUAUGAGUGUUUACUCAUGUUCUUUCUUAUUGAUGAGUUCUGCGGCCCAGCCUAUAGAAAUGGCUCAGAACAUUCCAGGCCUUGGUGAGACAGAGCAGCAUCCAGCACUCACAGGCUGUCCCCGCUCUACCUGUUCCCAUCUUCCCCUUGGGGCCUGUUCAUAAAUUGAGGAACGGAUAAGGGCCCUGGAGGGUCCUUGGGAGUAAUUAGUGGAGGGCAGGAUUCCCAGGUCCCCGUAGAGAGGGAAGGAGAAGCCCACGUGUGCACAGAAGCCCGUCUCUGUCACACACACACCGCAGGUGGUCACCGAUUUAUUUUCCAAAAGCUUAGAAAUAUAAAGCAAAUUUAGGCUUUUGUCCCUCUGCGAUACAUGCACUUGAAAAUAAACAGAAAAGAGAUGUUUAA
Mandrillus leucophaeus (drill) is the source of this 1056-nucleotide RNA transcript. RefSeq lists it as uncharacterized. The record is from RefSeq and is a predicted model, not a curated record. Lineage: Eukaryota; Metazoa; Chordata; Mammalia; Primates; Cercopithecidae. The transcript has a single exon.